RNAcentral lists this ribosomal RNA (241 nucleotides) under Mantidactylus opiparis. RNAcentral's name for it is "partial 16S ribosomal RNA". It matches the Rfam family "Bacterial large subunit ribosomal RNA", at positions 2288 to 2591 of the family's 2925-position model. Lineage: Eukaryota; Metazoa; Chordata; Amphibia; Anura; Mantellidae. The record is from RNAcentral.
GAGUACAACCAAACCUCCGCAAUGGACGGGACCACUCCCUUAUCUAAGAGCCACACCUCUAAGAAUUAAAACACUAACAUAAAAUGAUCCAUGAUCUGAUCAAUGAACCAAGUUACCCUGGGGAUAACAGCGCAAUCCAUUUCAAGAGCCCUUAUCGACNAGUGGGUUUACGACCUCGAUGUUGGAUCAGGGUAUCCUAGUGGUGCAGCAGCUACNAAUGGUUCGUUUGUUCAACGAUUAA